RNAcentral lists this long non-coding RNA (653 nucleotides) under Coturnix japonica (Japanese quail). RNAcentral describes it as "lncRNA (ENSCJPG00005009017.1)". Lineage: Eukaryota; Metazoa; Chordata; Aves; Galliformes; Phasianidae. The record is from RNAcentral.
CAAGCUCAAUGCAAUGUAAUCUUUUAGAUACUUGUGAAGAUAGAUGUUUUUCCUGCGCUAUUUCAUUCUGAAUUUUUCUAGCAGUUACAACCUGUAUAAUGUCUGAUGCUUGGAUGCGCCUGUAUCAACAUUAUCAAUACUUGACUCAAUUCCUUGUGGGUUUAUGGUAUUCCAGAGAGUAGAUCAGGUUCAUGGAGACAAAAGCCAGCAGUUGGCAGAGGGCAGAGAAAGCUUAUGUUCAACCACGGUGAAAGAAACAGGCCCUAGGGAGCUUCUUUGUGUAAUGAUACAGAUGACAAAUCUCAUGAAGUGUGGUCUGAUCAGCAAAGAAAAAGAUACCCAGCUACUUAUUGGGACUUCUGUUACAAAUGUUCUUGGAGGUCUGUUUACAACUGAUGUGCUUUCUUUUGCAUAUGUAUUCCAACUGGAGGCCAGGAAAAGAUGUUUUUCGAAGGGAAGUUUUCUGUGAAAUUUAGUGCUUCAUCUGCUCCAGUUUUUUACAGAAGAGCAGAAUGCCCAGCAGUUGUCUGAUGAGAAUAUGCUGGGACUGAAUAAGCUCCAGCUGCCUGAUUGUUUUUAGCCUGAAUGAAAGGUGAGUUCUUUCAGCUAUCACGCAUCAGUCCACAUUUCAUAUAUGUACAUACAGAUUUAAU